UGAUAUUUCCUGAAAACUUGUAAUUAUUAUAAAAUCAUUUUAAAACCCUAUGUUACUUAAGUCAAUAUGGAAUAUGUGAUGGUAGAGUAUGAGUUUCUUAUUCUUGAUAUCAUUGUUACCUGGAGAAUUUAUUUCAAAAUAUUCAAAACUCUAGCUACCAUCCUCAGUGUUUUAUAUGCCUGAUAAAACUGAAAAUAUUAAUUAUGAUUAUAAAAGCUAUCUCCUCUGUAUUAUGUUUGUUCAAAAUGAGUUAGACCCUUGUUGAGAGAUUUAUCAUGCUCCUAAGAUCAAGACAUUUAUUCAGAAAGAUUCACUCUUCUGAAGUAUUAUUGCAUUAGAGGCAUGGGCUAUGCAAAAAUAGAGAUAUUUCGAGGAAAUAAAAAGGAGCAAGUGCUCGACAACCUCGCAGAAAAAAUGGACAAGUGUCCGGCAGUAGAAUUAGGGGUACCUCGGUAUCCACUUUAAAAAAAGAGAGAGAAAAAAAAAUGAUAGCCCAUGGUCCCACUAAUAAGCAAUAUGCCAGCAAGAGUUGACAAAGAUUUUAAUUUCCAAAGUCUUUGAUCUAAGAGUAUGACAUUCCCCUCCUCAGAUCCCGUUUUGAUCAGGCAAUAAAUGUAAAGUAAGUAUGCUUGAGAAUUUUUGCAAAAUAAAACAGCCUCAGUGAGAUAUAUAAAAGAUAAUGAGUGAUCUGAGAAGAACCUAUGAGGAUAAAAAGGUAUGCUAACUUUCUUUCAAAAAUAUACAAAAACUCCAAGUGACAGGAUUGAGAAGAAAGGAUCUUUACUCUUAACCAGAAACAUCCCUGACUAUGGUACACAGUGGAUUUUUAAACACCGUGCAAAUAUAAAGAUUGCUUUAAAAUGUUUUACCCCAGAUAUUGUUCUUAACCAUCCUUUUCUCGAGGACGAGUAAAAGCCUAAGUAUGGGGGUAUUUGUUGACGGUUCUUAAGUAUCAAUUUUAAUUAUCAAAUAAACAAGAGAAAGGACCAAUAUGCAACCAACACCUAGAAUAAGGGUUUGAUCUGACAGAAUUCCACGAGUUUUGUUGUUUAUCUGUUUCUGCAAGGGGUUAUCAGGAAAUAAGGAAGAAAGGCCCACAUGUCGGGAUUACAUAGAGAUAUCAACGCACCGCGCGAUUUUCUACCAUCUAGAAGACUCCAGAAGCCACGGGAAGAAGGCAGAGGCCGAAAGGGGCCAGGCCCAAGGCGCCCGCCCUGGUGACCUGGGUGCCCGCCCCCUGCUGGAUUGCUUUCGGGACUCUCUUCGCACGGGAUGUUCCACCGACCUAUUGGAUCAAGGAAAACAUAGUAGCACCUCGCCUACCGACCCAAAAACGCAUAGAGGAGGAGGACUAUAUAAGGAGACCCCCCUGUCCCCUGGAGGAGACAAGAAAUUAUCAUAGAGAUUGAAGGGUGCCCUCGAAGGAAAACCUCUUCUCUAAUUAAUAUUUCUUUUUUAGGCUUAGCAACCAAUGUAAAGUAGAAAUAGAUCUUCUAGUUUCUACUAGAUUGAGAGAGAUAGAGUGGAGGUGUAGAUUGGAGGAAGCCCGGCCUGUCGGUGUCUACUCCAAGCUUGUACCAGCGGGAUCAAGUUCUCCUAACCCGAAGCUUGCUCCUAGGAUUCUUCAGUAUUUUGACUUCUAAAUUCUAGUAAGUUCUUGUUUUAUUGUUCUUCUGGUUUAUGAGUUUACUUUAAUCUCUUCGCGUAGAGUUUAGAGUAAUCAUUGCUGGUGUAAACGUGGUGUUUAGGCUUGGGUACUCAUAGAUAUUCCCUGACUAGCUGGACCGUGGUAGUAGUGAGGAACGUGACAAUUCCGAGUUACCUUUGCAUACCAUAUCUCGUUAGCAGGAAGGAUAGGGUUUAUAGGUGCGGGUUGAACAUCCUUUAUGGUGUCUAGAUUCUUUUAGCCUCCCCAUUAGAACAGUAGAUCAUCCUUACUAAGGUUAGAAGGAGACUAAGGUUGCAGUCUUCUCUAUUUAUCACUCACAUCGAAAGACAUUCUUUGUGCCUAAAGGGUUAGUAGUAAUAGACCGAUUAGUCAGAUGCACUCUUUCUCCUAGUGGUAAAAAAAUAAAUACGAUACUCUGGAUAAUUUCCCGGGUGAAGUGCUCACCGAUAUCCGUGCGCUUGCGGAUCAAUUCCUUAUUGCGUUCCCAAAUAUCAACACUGGCCUACAAUGUAUGAAGACACAAAGCAAUAUAUCAGAAGAUGUGGGCCAUGUCAAAGGCACGAAAACAUAAACACAAGGGAUGCCAUGCCACUCACCAACAACCUUCAGAUUCAGCUCUUUGAUGUUUGGGGAAUAGAUUACAUGGGUCCAUUUCCCCCCAUCAAACAAGUGUGAGUUCAUCUUGGUGGCAGUUGACUACGUCUCCAAGUGGGUAGAGGCAUUACCUUGCAAACACGCUGACAACAUCAGUUCAAAGAGGAUGUUUGAAGAAGUUAUAUUUCCAAGAUUUGGAGUCCCCAGAGUAGUGAUAAGUGAUGGAGGAGCACACUUCAUCGACAAACGCUUCAAGCAAUAUCUAUCAAAACAUGGAAUCCGUCACAAUGUCGCUACCCCCUAUCAUCCUUAGAUAAGUGGCCAAGCAGAGACUUGCAAUAAGAAAAUCAAGAAUAUUCUUCAGAAGACAGUCAAUGAGAUGGGAACAGCAUGGAAGGACAAGUUACCCGAUGCACUCUGCGCAUACCGGACAGCAUACAAGACUCCAAUUGGAAUGUCCCCAUACCAAUUGGUGUAUGGGAAGACUUGCCACCUACCUGUUGAACUAGAGUUCAAAGCACACUGGGCAAUAAGAAGAUGGAAUAUGGACCUAUAUGUGGCUGGUGAUUAUAGAAGAAUGCAACUAUCAGAAUUGGAAGAAUGGCGAGAGAAAGCAUAUCACAAUUCGAAGAUCUAUAAAGAAAGAGUCAAAAGGUGGCAUGACAAGAGGAUCAAGAAGAAGGAGUUUGCACCCGGAGAUAAGGUAUUACUUUUUAAUUCCAAGGUGAAGCUUUUUGGGCAUGGAAAACUCCAGAGUAAAUGGGAAGGACCAUUCAAGGUAAUCAAUUCAUCAUCCCACGGAGCUAUCACACUUCAAAAUGAUGAAGGUACGUUAUUCAAGGUUGUUGACGGUCCUUAAUGCUCAUAUUUAACCAUCAACUAAUCAUGGAAAAGGACCUAUAUGCAACCAACACCUAGACUUAGGGUUUCAUCUGACAGAAUUCCACGAGUUUUGGUGUUUGUCUAUUUCUACAGGGGGUUAUCAGGAAAUACGGAAGAAAGGCCCACAUGUCGGGUUUACAUAGAGAUAUUAACGUGCCACGCAAUUUUCUAUCAUCUAGAAGACUCCAGAAGCCACGGGAACGAACGGGAAGCCGAGAGGGCUCAGGGACAGGGCGCCCGCCCUACUCCCUUGGGCGCCCGCCCAGCUACAGUGUCUAAUUUGGACCCGUUUCGCGGAUUACGCUCCACCGACCUAAGGGAUCAAGGAAAACCGUGCGAUUAAUGUCGGUUUGAUCCGACGGCCCAGAUUCAUCUGAAAAGACCAUAUAAGCAAGGCCCCCUGGCCCCUGGAGAUCAUACCUCUUCUACAGAAUCAAAGCUAGGGUUUUAAUUCUUCAUCCAUGUAGAGAGGAUCCCUCUAGUUCAUCUAGUUCUAGUUCCUCUAGUUCUAGUUCUAGUACGUUCUAGUUGUAAUCUAGAAAAUAGGGAGAGAGAAGAGGAGAGCGGAGGAGGAGGAGCCGGAUCUGUCGGAUCUUCCUCAACAUUGUACUUUUGCAGCAACUGGUUCGUUCUUCAUCGUUCUCCAAGUUCUUCAAUUCAUAAUUCCUGAGUUCUUUAAUUACUUUUAUUUACAUUCAAGUUAUUUAUUGGAUUUCCGCUUGCAUCAAGUGCUUUAGUCUUUAUAACGCUCGAGUAGUAAUUAAUAGAUUAGACGUGGUGUUUAGUCUUGUAAUUACCUGGAAUUGCACCCAAUCCAGCGGAUUGUUGUGGUAGCCCUAGGGUAGUGACAGCCCUAACGGUCGACGUAUUCCACCUCGUUUGGAUCGGUGUUUGUAGGACCGUAGUCAGAGCUUCCUAGCCCCCUUCUCAUAUCUUUCUGUGGUUUCUGUUCUGAUGUCCCGAAAUAAAUAAUCUUUGAAGUAAUUCUUGAUUCUUAGAUCAACUAGAGAACUCUCAGGAAACUUCCUCUCUUCCCACCAAAAAUAAUUAUAUAGUUAUCCUUGGGCGAUCUUGAAUCUUAAUUAGUACACUCACGUUCCCUGUGGAAAAUCAAUACUCUGGAAUACUCCCGGGUGAAAGCUACACCGAUAUCCGUGCACUUGUGGAUUUUUCUGUUUGCGUUUAAAAUACCCAACAAAGGUAAAUGGUCAACGUCUUAAAUUAUUUUUAGAGCCCAAUAAAGAAUUAGAAGAGAUAGAUGUGAUCCAUUUUUACCUUCCCAUGGAGAUUUAGAGCCCGACCUUUUUAAUCUGAUGUUUUAGGGCCAUGUAUAUAUUUUCCUAAUAAACUCUACAUCUAGAAUCACGCUCGAGGAAGCGGGCCCAUAGAGGGGCUAGGCACAGGGCGGGCGCCCUGAUAAAGAGGGCGGGCGCCCAGCCCCUGCCCCCUCUCAGUCCUGAUUUCUUCCAUCACGAUAAACACAUUUAUGGUAAACCAAAUAAUCCUACAGAUGGAAUGUUUCCCACGCACGGCGGCGGGAGUAGCCCGAGCAAACCCUAGAGGCACUUUUUGACCCCUAUAUAAACAGACCCGUGACGUCAGUUUUCAAACACCAAUCUAUUCAAUCCUUCUCUAAUUAGAGCUUACUUAGUCCCUCGCUGCUCCAAUGGCCGAAGAGUUUCACGACGAUUGGAAAGUCGUCACCUACGACCUCAACAAGAAGCCCAAGGAAGACCCCGACGCCCACGCUCUCAUCCCGGCCAACACAAAGCGAUAGCUAGAAGCCAUGCCAUUACGCCAGCACAGCUCCGCCCAAUCCUACCAUGCUCAACUAGUUCUCACCGCACCGCCGCAGCCCCUACUUCUCAAGGGACCGUCAGCCAAGAAGGAAACCACCGUCAAGGUGCCAGUCGGCACUAGGAUCCAUCCACCUAGACCCAAUGAGAGGGUCGUUGGAGUCAAGACCAACCGAAGCGGCGAGAUCAGCAGCAUCCGCUACACUACGGAGGAGGAGAGGCCUUACUUUGAGAGGAUUAGAGCAGCCAAAGUCCGUUUCAUCCCUCCAAAGGCAGCCCCGAAGCACGCUCUCAAUGCUCUUGAGACACCUCCUAAGCGUCGCAAGACUAUAGUAGAUAUUGAUGAGGACGUUCGUAGGCUAGACAGGAUCAUCAUAGAGCUCCAGUCCUCGGUUAACUCUAUCACUAGGCAGCUCUCUAACCAGAACACCAUUAUACUAGGUCUUAGGCAUGAUCUUGCUAGUGCCAAUAAGAAUAUCAGGGAGUUCGAGCGCCACUAAGUUAUCUAGAUUAGAUCUUGAGGCAAUGCAUCUUAGUUAUUUAUCUUUAAAUUUGGUUUAGAUUUACUAUUAGCUUCAGUUCACUACUAGUCAUUUGUAAUAAAUGCCUCAAGAUUAAUAAAGAGUAUUAUUAUUAUUAUGUCUUGUGUGUCUCUACUUUAUUUUUAUGCAAGAAAGCAGAAAACAAGUAUGGGGGAGAUCCCUCGACAUACCAAAUGUAGUUCGACUACACCACUCCACGAUUCAGGUACAUACUCUGCACACUUUACACAUACAUAUAUAUCUUGGAUUAUGCAGAAUACUGUCUCCGACAUGAUAAAUUAAAAAGAAUAAAAUGUUUUUGAUCAUGAUUAAUCUCACUCUGUGAUAUUUCCUAAAAAAACUUGCAAUUAUUGAAAAUCAUUUUAAAACCCUGUGUUACUUAAGUCAUUGUGGAAUGUGAGAUGGUAGAGUAUGAGUACCUUAUUCUUGAUAUCAUUGUCACUUGGAGAAUUUAUUUCAAAAACUUCAAAAUUCUAGCUACCAUUCUCAAUGUUUUAUAUGCCUGAUAAACCUGAAAAUAUAAUAAUUAUAAAAGCUAUCUACUCUGUAUUGAGUUUGUUCAAAAUGAGUUAGACCCUUGUUGAGAGAUUUAUCAUGCUCCUAAGAUCAAGACAUUAUUUCAGAAAGAUUCACUCUUCCGAAGUAUUAUUGCGUUAGAAGCAUGGGCUAUGCAAAAAUAUGAAUAAUUCGAGGAAAUAAAAAGGAGCAAGUGCUCGACAACCUCGCAGAAAAAUGGACAAGUGUCCGGCAGUAGAAUUAGGGGUACCUCGGUAUCCACUUAAAAAAAGAGAGAAAAGAAAAAAAAUGAUAGCCCAUGGUCCCUCUAAUAAGCAAUAUGCCAGUAAGAGUUGACAAGUUUUUAAUUUCCAAAGUCUUUGAUCUAAGAGUAUGACAUUCCUCUCCGCGGAUCCUGUUUUUGAUCAGGCAAUAAAUACAAGGUAAGUAUGGUUGAGAAUUUUUGCAAAUUAAAACAGCCUCAGUGUGAUAUAAGAUAAAUGAGUGAUAUGAGAGAACCUAUGAGGAUAAAGGUAUGCUAAAUUUCUUUUCAAAAAUAUACAAAAACUCCAAGUAACAGGAUUGAGAAGAAAGGACCUCUACUCUUAACCAUAUAUUUCCCUGAAUACGGUACAUAGUGAAUUUUUACAACACCCUGCAGGUAUGAAGAGAAUGCUUUACAAUGUUUUAACCACAGAUAUUUUUCUUAACCAUCCUUUUCUCGAAGACGAGUAAAAGCCUAAGUAUGGGGGUAUUUGUUGACGAUUCUUAAGUAUCAAUUUUAAUUAUCAAAUAAACAAGGGAAAGGACCAAUAUACAAACAACACCUAGUAUUAGGGUUUGAUCUCACAGAAUUCCACGAGUUUUGUUGUUUAUCUAUUUCUGCAGGGGGUUAUGAGGAAAUAAGGAAGAGAGGCCCACAUGUCGGGAUUAAAUAGAG
This 6918-nucleotide long non-coding RNA is filed under the name Sorghum bicolor (sorghum). RNAcentral describes it as "long non-coding RNA (SBIC_LNC010146)". The record is from RNAcentral. Lineage: Eukaryota; Viridiplantae; Streptophyta; Magnoliopsida; Poales; Poaceae.